GACUUAGACCUUGCACAGACUUUCCGUGGAUGCUUUUAUUCCCAUAUAGGGAUGAAUGAGAAGUUGGAUAUCCUUCUUCCUUUUCAGGCUGGAAGAGGUCAGUCCUUUAUGCUGAUUUGCAGCUGCAGGAUUUGCCUUGCAGUUAUGCUCAUCCCAGGACUGCCCCACAAUUGUGCUUCCUAGUUUCCUGCCUCAUAGGUAAGUUUGCAGGCUGGCUCCUAAAAUUGAUGCCCAAACAGGAACUUGAAAGGAAGAAGUUCCAAAGGAAUGAGAAAUACAACAAAAAAGGAGAAUCCUGCAAGGAGAAAUCCAAAGGUCUCUGGCAAAAAUGAAACCUGCUGCCUUGGAGGAAAAACCAAACAAUGCUUGAGAGAUAUGCAGCCUCAUCUGACCAUGAUUCAACUACUGCAAUUACAAAAACAAGAAGAGGAGAUGUGGGAGACCAGGCUACUUGACUAGCCAUGGAGACCAAGGCUUUGUUGACCUUUCCUGUGAACAAUACAGGGGGUAGAAAGUUAUUCCCUCCUUUGUUUGUGUGCAGGAAUGCUGACACUCAUAAUACCCCCAGGGCAGGACAACAGCAGCCUUGGGCUAAACAAAGAAAAUUACAUAUCCAGGUGUAUAGUUGUUAUGCUCCUUGUUAAUCAUUUACAAUUUCUUGAAUCCUGGAUUUUGUGAUUACUACACUGCCCUGUUUUACUAAUAAAAAUGGAC
RNAcentral lists this long non-coding RNA (714 nucleotides) under Chinchilla lanigera (long-tailed chinchilla). RNAcentral's name for it is "lncRNA (ENSCLAG00000025326.1)". The record is from RNAcentral. Lineage: Eukaryota; Metazoa; Chordata; Mammalia; Rodentia; Chinchillidae.